UGGGGAAUAUUGGACAAUGGGCGAAAGCCUGAUCCAGCAAUGCCGCGUGGAUGAAGAAGGUCUUCGGAUUGUAAAGUCCUUUCGGCGGGGACGAUGAUGACGGUACCCGCAGAAGAAGCCCCGGCUAACUUCGUGCCAGCAGCCGCGGUAAUACGAAGGGGGCUAGCGUUGCUCGGAAUGACUGGGCGUAAAGGGCGCGUAGGCGGUUUGGUUCGUUAGGCGUGAAAUUCCUGGGCUCAACCUGGGGACUGCGUUUAAUACAGCCAGACUUGAGUGUGGAAGAGGGUCGUGGAAUUCCCAGUGUAGAGGUGAAAUUCGUAGAUAUUGGGAAGAACACCGGUGGCGAAGGCGGCGACCUGGUCCAUUACUGACGCUGAGGCGCGAAAGCGUGGGGAGCAAACA
This 402-nucleotide ribosomal RNA is filed under the name uncultured Rhodovastum sp. RNAcentral describes it as "bacterial SSU rRNA". It matches the Rfam family "Bacterial small subunit ribosomal RNA", at positions 355 to 774 of the family's 1533-position model. Lineage: Bacteria; Pseudomonadati; Pseudomonadota; Alphaproteobacteria; Acetobacterales; Acetobacteraceae. The record is from RNAcentral.